This 222-nucleotide ribosomal RNA is filed under the name Escherichia coli. RNAcentral's name for it is "partial 23S ribosomal RNA". It matches the Rfam family "Bacterial large subunit ribosomal RNA", at positions 2709 to 2925 of the family's 2925-position model. Lineage: Bacteria; Pseudomonadati; Pseudomonadota; Gammaproteobacteria; Enterobacterales; Enterobacteriaceae. The record is from RNAcentral.
CUGGUGUUCGGGUUGUCAUGCCAAUGGCACUGCCCGGUAGCUAAAUGCGGAAGAGAUAAGUGCUGAAAGCAUCUAAGCACGAAACUUGCCCCGAGAUGAGUUCUCCCUGACUCCUUGAGAGUCCUGAAGGAACGUUGAAGACGACGACGUUGAUAGGCCGGGUGUGUAAGCGCAGCGAUGCGUUGAGCUAACCGGUACUAAUAAACCGUGAGGCUUAACCUU